This 435-nucleotide ribosomal RNA is filed under the name uncultured bacterium. RNAcentral describes it as "partial 16S ribosomal RNA". It matches the Rfam family "Bacterial small subunit ribosomal RNA", at positions 29 to 507 of the family's 1533-position model. The record is from RNAcentral.
AGCGAACGCUGGCGGCAGGCUUAACACAUGCAAGUCGAGCGGGCAUAGCAAUAUGUCAGCGGCAGACGGGUGAGGAACGCGGGGGGACGUACCUUUUGGUUCGGAACAACUGAGUGAAACUUCAGCUAAUACCGGAUAAGCCCUUACGGGGGAAGAUUUGUCGCCGAAGGAUCGGCCCGCGUCUGAUUAGCUAGUUGGUGAGGUUAUGGCUCACCAAGGCGACGAUCAGGAGCUGGUCUGAGAGGCUGAUCCGACACAUUGGGACUGAGACACGGUCCAGACUCUUACGCGAGGCAGCAGUGGGGAAUAUUGGACAAUCGGCGCAAGGCUGAUCCAGCCAUGCCGCGUGAGUGAUGAAGGCCGUAGGGUUGUAAAGCUCUUUUGUGCGGGAAGAUAAUGACGGUACCGAAAGAAUAAGCCCCGGCUAACUUCGUG